AUACAGAGAGUGCAAGCGUUAAUCGGAAUAACUGGGCGUAAAGCGCACGUAGGUGGACAUUUAAGUCGAAUGUGAAAGCCCUAGGCUUAACCUAGGAACUGCAUCCGAAACUGGGCGUCUUGAGUAUAGUAGAGGGAAGUGGAAUUUCCGGUGUAGCGGUGAAAUGCGUAGAUAUCGGAAAGAACACCAGUGGCGAAGGCGGCUUCCUGGACUAAUACUGACACUGAGGUGCGAAAGCGUGGGGAGCAAACAGGAUUAGAAACCCUAGUAGUCC
Molecule: ribosomal RNA, 274 nt
Filed under: uncultured bacterium
Lineage: Bacteria
Description: partial 16S ribosomal RNA
Rfam family: Bacterial small subunit ribosomal RNA
Source: RNAcentral